GACGAACGCUGGCGGCGUGCUUAACACAUGCAAGUCGAACGAUGAAACCUAGCUUGCUAGGUCGAUUAGUGGCGAACGGGUGAGUAACACGUGACUAACCUGCCCCUUUCUCUGGGAUAACGCUCCGAAAGGAGUGCUAAUACCGGAUACUCACAUCGAGGCACAUGCCUUGGGGUGGAAAGUUUUUCGGAAAGGGAUGGAGUCGCGGCCUAUCAGCUUGUUGGUGAGGUAACGGCUCACAAAGGCGACGACGGGUAGCUCGGCCUGAGAGGGCGACCGGCCACACUGGGACUGAGAUACGGCCCAGACUCCUACGGGAGGCAGCAGUUAGGAAUAUUGCACAAUGGACGAAAGUCUGAUGCAGCGACGCCGCACGAAGGAAGACGGCCUUCGGGUUGUAAACUUCUUUUAACCGGGACGAUUAUGACGGUACCGGUUGAAUAAGUCACGGCUAACUACGUGCCAGCCGCCGCAGUAA
This 478-nucleotide ribosomal RNA is filed under the name uncultured bacterium. RNAcentral's name for it is "partial 16S ribosomal RNA". It matches the Rfam family "Bacterial small subunit ribosomal RNA", at positions 28 to 523 of the family's 1533-position model. The record is from RNAcentral.